Suricata suricatta (meerkat) is the source of this 1080-nucleotide long non-coding RNA. RefSeq lists it as uncharacterized. The record is from RefSeq and is a predicted model, not a curated record. The transcript is spliced from 3 exons. Lineage: Eukaryota; Metazoa; Chordata; Mammalia; Carnivora; Herpestidae.
CAGAUCUUUGGAAAAAAGGACUGCUAUUCAUCCCAAAAUGAUGAGGGCAGGCUGACUGGAAUGGAAAAUGGGAGGACAACCUCGUAAAAUACAAUGAACUUGAGCCGUUAACAUCCCAAGGAGUGUGAUGAAAAACCACAGGCUAAAUUUUCCUGUGAGAGAAAGACUUUCAUACAGACAAGAACAAAGACUUGUUACCUGAUGGAAAAGACUAGAGUUUAGAUAACAAAGAGUUGAGUUAUCCUUUAGUAACCUGGACCUGCUGGUUGGAGUUGCUCUGUUCCCUGCAGUCUUGCUUAUGUUGGCCGUUGGCCUCAUGUGGCUUGUGACUAGAACCUACAUUAAGAAGAAAAAUUCUCUGGGUCAGAGUGUGGCUCCACAGGAGCACCUGCCUUAGAGCACCUGCUUUUGACCUCACGGACCUCUGCUAACACCUUCCCUUCAACUGCUACCAGCCUAAGCCCCAUGCCAGGGUUCCACAGGGUGCGCUCAAUGCAAGAAUGUUCCUCAGAACAGGCUCUGCAGCUGUGGGCGGAGCAAUCAGAGAAGCUCUGAGGUUAGUUGCUGCCUCUAGAAAGGGUGUGAGUAAAAGACCACAUCCUUUGGAGGACAAACUUCACUGUGCCACCAAAUCACACACAUGAGCUUAGAAAGAACUACCUUGAUUAUGAUCCUGUCACUUCUGUUCUCCAUGCUUCCAACUGUGUCCUGGGGAGAAGGCCUAUUUGCUGGGGGGCGGUGGAGAGGGGGUGUCUUGCCUCACGACUCAGCCUAUAGUCCCAGCAAUGGACUGAGGUCGCCUUCUGGUGACCCAGACACUUCAGAUGAUGAGUGUGGUCCAUGGGAAGUGUCCGGAGCAGCAGGAAGCAUGUGGUACUUACCUUCCAAGUUGAGGGAGUUUAUUGAUGGACGGAUUAGAGACCUGUUAACAUGGUUUAGAAAACUCAACCUCAGGAUUUUUCUCCCUUUUUACAGGAAAAGAAACUCCCCUAAAAGUAGUGGGUGAGAACUCUUGGGUUUUUUUCCCCCUUCAUCCUUGGUUGUAUUUUAUUGGACUAUAAAAUUUUAUUUAUGGAGAGA